Molecule: ribosomal RNA, 439 nt
Filed under: uncultured bacterium
Lineage: Bacteria
Description: bacterial SSU rRNA
Rfam family: Bacterial small subunit ribosomal RNA
Source: RNAcentral
AACGCGAAGAACCUUACCCAGGCUUGACAUGCACAGGAAUAUACCAGAGAUGGUAUAGCCUUUCGGGGUCUGUGCACAGGUGCUGCAUGGCUGUCGUCAGCUCGUGCCGUGAGGUGUUUGGUUAAGUCCAGCAACGAGCGCAACCCUUAUCAUUAGUUGCCAACAUUUCGGAUGGGAACUCUAAUGAGACUGCCUAGGUUAACUAGGAGGAAGGUGAGGAUGACGUCAAGUCCGCAUGGCCCUUAUGUCUGGGGCUACACACGUGCUACAAUGGUCGGUACAGAAGGCAGCGAAACCGUGAGGUGAAGCAAAUCCCAAAAAGCCGGCCCCAGUUCAGAUUGUAGUCUGCAACUCGACUACAUGAAGAUGGAAUUGCUAGUAAUGGCGAGUCAGCAACAUCGCCGUGAAUACGUUCCCGGGCCUUGUACACACCGGCUAC